RNAcentral lists this ribosomal RNA (305 nucleotides) under uncultured bacterium. RNAcentral's name for it is "bacterial SSU rRNA". It matches the Rfam family "Bacterial small subunit ribosomal RNA", at positions 337 to 638 of the family's 1533-position model. The record is from RNAcentral.
UCCUACGGGGGGCAGCAGUGAGGAAUAUUGGUCAAUGGCCGAGAGGCUGAACCAGCCAAGUCGCGUGAGGGAUGACGGCCCUACGGGUUGUAAACCUCUUUUGUCGGGGAGCAAGACCCGCCUCGUGCAGGCGGAGCGAGAGUACCCGAAGAAAAAGCAUCGGCUAACUCCGUGCCAGCAGCCGCGGUAAUACGGAGGAUGCGAGCGUUAUCCGGAUUUAUUGGGUUUAAAGGGUGCGUAGGCGGUUUUAUAAGUUAGAGGUGAAAAUUCUGGGCUCAACUCCGGACGUGCCUCUAAUACUUUAU